Long non-coding RNA from Raphanus sativus (radish), 256 nucleotides. RefSeq lists it as uncharacterized. Lineage: Eukaryota; Viridiplantae; Streptophyta; Magnoliopsida; Brassicales; Brassicaceae. The record is from RefSeq and is a predicted model, not a curated record. The transcript has 2 exons.
CCCUUAUCUUCUUCUUUCUUUCGAUUAUGGAAUUAGGGUUUCGAUCAUGGAAUUAGGGGUUUUUUUAAAUCUGUCUUAUUAUUAGUCUCUGGACUUUGUUCUUCAUCUCUCCGAUCCACAGAUGGCUCUGAGCGAGGGUUUAGGUACACUGUGAGAUCUUUCUGUAACAUACAUAACGAAAAGAUUGCUUGUUACGUCACUGUGAGAGGAGACAAGGCAAAUGCACCUUCUUGAGAGUGGCUUGAAAGUGAAGGAA